AGCUGUUAAAUUAGGAAUAAAAAGGUUUCAUUACCAUUUAUUACCUGUAAAAUUUAUUGUAAGAACAGAUAAUACUCAAGUAAGAUCGUCCAUUUAUUACCUGUAAAAUUUAUUGUAAGAACAGAUAACACUCAAGUAAGAUCGUUUAUAUUUAAUAAAAUAGAUCCUUUACCAGAAUUAAAUAAAAGGAGAAAUUGGCAAGCAUUUUUUAGUUGUUAUGAUUUUGUUAUUAAAAAUAUAUCAGGGACUAAGAAUGUUCUUGCAGAUUUUCUUAGCAGAGAAAAUGGACAGGGAUAGUAUGAAUCGACAGGUGGAAGGAAUAAUAGCAGAAAUCAAGAGGAAAAAUCAGCAAAUAUCAGAUUUAAACCAUGAAAUAGAAAUUCUGACCAAAAAUCUUGAAGAAGCCCUGAAAAUUCUUAGAUUAGAAACCCCUCAAACUUUUGUAUCUCGAUUAGCCUCCACACCAGUUAUAAACACUAUUACCCAAAAUUUACCAGAAAUGCCAAAAUCUUUAAGUUCUAUCAACCUAACCGAUAGAAUUAAACAUCCCAAGGAUUACAUACAAGCCUUUGAAAAAAUAACCAAAUUUUAUGAUUAUAAGUCAAACACCACAAUAUUAAGAAAUGGAAAGUUUAGCAAAUAUCCAAGGUAUAUUUGUAAAGAAAAUG
This 668-nucleotide long non-coding RNA is filed under the name Daucus carota (carrot). RNAcentral's name for it is "long non-coding RNA (DCAR_LNC004491)". Lineage: Eukaryota; Viridiplantae; Streptophyta; Magnoliopsida; Apiales; Apiaceae. The record is from RNAcentral.